AUGGACAGCCAGGGAUACUGAACUCCUUUCUUCAUCCAUAAAACAGGUACAGCACAGAGCCAGCUUUCCGGCAUUGCUCUGCCCAUGUGUUUUCAUAAUAACCUAGAGGGACUGUCUCUAGAGAUGAGAGGGUAAUUCAGUCUCCAGGCCCUAACCAGUCCUUGGCCUCU
Unclassified non-coding RNA from Chrysemys picta bellii (western painted turtle), 170 nucleotides. The record is from Ensembl. NCBI's taxonomy places the organism in Eukaryota, Metazoa, Chordata, Testudines, Emydidae.